This 420-nucleotide ribosomal RNA is filed under the name uncultured archaeon. Its description in RNAcentral is "partial 16S ribosomal RNA". It matches the Rfam family "Archaeal small subunit ribosomal RNA", at positions 323 to 746 of the family's 1478-position model. The record is from RNAcentral.
CUACGGGCUGCUCCAGGCAGGAAACCUUUACAAUGCACGGAAGUGCGAUAAGGGAAACCUAAGUGCUUGCCUACGGGUGAGCUUUUGUCAAGUGUAAAAAUCUUGACGAAUAAGUGGUGGGUAAGACCGGUGCCAGCAGCCGCGGUAACCCCGGCGCCACGAGUGGCAAUCAUAUUUAUUGGGCCUAAAGCGUCCGUAGCCGAUCUAUUCAGUCCUUUGUUAAAUCGUUCAGCUUAACUGAGCGGCUGCAAGGGAUACUAGUAGGUUCGGGAUCGGGAGGAGUCAGAAGUACUCUUUGGGUAGCGGUAAAAUGUUAUAAUCCUUAGAGGACUACCAGUGGCGAAGGCGUCUGACUAGAACGAGUCCGACGGUGAGGGACGAAAGCUAGGGGAGCAAAAGGGAUUAGAUACCCUUGUAGUC